CAAUUGGUCAAGGGACGUCAUCCAGCGGGCAUGCAGCGUUUCGGAUCACGCGCAUGCGCGUGCCGUGAAGGAUGUUCGGAAAAAAAUAUUCGUCUAUCACAUUGUUAGGCGAACCGGAUAGAAAAUGAGAGACAGAGCAAUCAGUCCUGAACCUUCCAAAAUCACUGCACCUCCUUGACCUUCUUGAACUGCUGCAGUCUGUGCGGUGAAGUUGCUCCCAGAUUGCUGUUCCAUAAGGAGUUACAGGAUUUUCAUCCAGUGGUGACAAGAAGUCACUUGUGAUCCACCUGAAGCUGCCUUUUGUUGCAGAAACUUGUGUGUGGGGAUGGAGAACGGACAUGAAGCACAUGGAGUGGAUAUAAUCAUGAGGACUCUGUCACUCUCGGGGAUGUGUCUGUGUGUCUCCCUCUGAAGGUGAAAAUGAGGAUGAGUUCCUUAAGGGAGUAUUUACACAGUUUUACCA
Molecule: long non-coding RNA, 463 nt
Organism: Rhincodon typus (whale shark)
Lineage: Eukaryota; Metazoa; Chordata; Chondrichthyes; Orectolobiformes; Rhincodontidae
Exons: 3
Source: RefSeq, a predicted model, not a curated record